This 74-nucleotide transfer RNA is filed under the name Egicoccus halophilus. RNAcentral describes it as "tRNA-Thr". It matches the Rfam family "tRNA". From Rfam's summary of the family: Transfer RNA (tRNA) molecules are approximately 80 nucleotides in length. Their secondary structure includes four short double-helical elements and three loops (D, anti-codon, and T loops). Lineage: Bacteria; Bacillati; Actinomycetota; Nitriliruptoria; Egicoccales; Egicoccaceae. The record is from RNAcentral.
GCCCUGGUAGCUCAGUCGGCAGAGCGCUUCCAUGGUAAGGAAGAGGUCCGCGGUUCGAUUCCGCGCCAGGGCUC